UACGGGGGGGAGCAAGCGUUGUUCGGAUUUACUGGGCGUAAAGGGCGCGUAGGCGGUCGUGACAAGUCACUUGUGAAAUCUCCGGGCUUAACCCCGGGCCUGCAGUGGGUACGGGCAGACUAGAGUGCGGUAGGGGAGACUGGAAUUCCUGGUGUAGCGGUGAAAUGCGCAGAUAUCAGGAGGAACACCGGUGGCGAAGGCGGGUCUCUGGGCCGUAACUGACGCUGAGGAGCGAAAGCGUGGGGAGCGAACAGGA
RNAcentral lists this ribosomal RNA (256 nucleotides) under uncultured bacterium. RNAcentral's name for it is "partial 16S ribosomal RNA". It matches the Rfam family "Bacterial small subunit ribosomal RNA", at positions 524 to 777 of the family's 1533-position model. The record is from RNAcentral.